GCGGUGGGGAGGUUUCGGCCCCGCCUUCCGCGUGCGUUCGAAGUCAGUUUAAAGGAGCCGCGAGAGACAAGGAGUGUGCAGGAGGGAGCUGGGAGGGCCCUGAAGACUCCCUGUAUGGCACCAAGUGCUGCCGCGCACGCUCCUGGCUCAGUGCCACAAGAUGAUGCCAUACUACUGGGCCACGCGAUGCCAAGAUGUGUUGAAGAGCAGGGUGCUUGAAAAUGUUGAGCUGAAGUUGGAAUUUGGGGGUCACAUUUAAUAGGGAAUGACACAGGCUGGUGACAUUGCUUCAGCCACUGCUUUUGCUAUUUACCCCCGAACACACCCUCAGAUCAUCAGAGCUCUGCCGUGGAAGUGUGGUGACUCAUCUGAUGCUUAGGUAUUUUGGGUUCCUUACUCUUCAGCCACUUUACCGAGAAGAGCCACGCAGAGUCAAAACAGAGAGGAGAGGAAAUCGGGGUGUGCAGAUGGGAGGGGUGGGGCACAAAUCCAAGGGCUGCUAUGGCGAAGUUCAGCAGAGGGGCUGUUGUCGAAGCUAGGACUCCGAGAACAAGGGCCAUUCCAAAAGCAACAACAGGAAGGAAAUGGGGGUUUGAGUAAACUUCAUUGAGAGGUCUGGACACACUGUGCAGAGUUCUCCCACCGCAGAGCUGUUUGUGCAGAAAUCCAGAAGAAUCAUCAUUGCUCUUUGGGAAUGUUUUUGAGUAACCACGCCCAAGCUGUGCUGACUCUGCCAAAGCAAGGUGAAGGAUGCAGUUGCAGGCUUGCAAACUACAGUCCGCUUAUUACCCUAAACUCCAAGCCCCUCCCCCUAAAUAUACAUGUGCCUUUGGCUCAGUUACCUGGAUUCUC
Molecule: long non-coding RNA, 852 nt
Organism: Fukomys damarensis (Damara mole-rat)
Lineage: Eukaryota; Metazoa; Chordata; Mammalia; Rodentia; Bathyergidae
Exons: 4
Source: RefSeq, a predicted model, not a curated record